Molecule: ribosomal RNA, 253 nt
Filed under: uncultured bacterium
Lineage: Bacteria
Description: partial 16S ribosomal RNA
Rfam family: Bacterial small subunit ribosomal RNA
Source: RNAcentral
UACGUAGGGGGCAAGCGUUGUCCGGAAUCAUUGGGCGUAAAGCGCGUGUAGGCGGCUAGGGAAGUCUGCUCUGAAAGCCCGGGGCUCAACCCCGGGAGGCGGGUGGAUACUGUCUAGCUCGAGUCCGGAAGAGGAGUGUGGAAUUCCUGGUGUAGCGGUGAAAUGCGCAGAUAUCAGGAGGAACACCAAUGGCGAAGGCAGCACUCUGGGACGUGACUGACGCUGAGACGCGAAAGCGUGGGGAGCAAACAGG